AUGGGAAUGUGGGAGGAAGCGAGUGACCCAGUGAUGGGGAAGAAGGAUAAAAAUGAGGAGCGGAAGGAGAGAAUCCUGAAUCUCACACUGGAGAUUAUCUAUCUGCUGACUGGAGAGGGCUACGUCAUCCCUAAGAAGAAGAGCCCAACUGUGGGUUUGGGGGCCCUGCAUGCCCCUGGCUCCGUCAUACAGAAGGAAAAUGACAAGAAGAUCCUGGAACUCAUCUCCAACAUCAUCCAGCUGCUGACUGGAGAGGUUGCCAUAAGGUGUGAGGAUGUUUCCAUCUAUUUUUCCUUGGAGGAGUGGGAGUAUAUAAAAGGAAACAAGGCCCUUUACAGGGAAGGGAUAAAGGAGGAGGAGCCCCAGCAGCUCCGCCCACUGGCAGCCUGUGAGUAUAAAGAUGGGAGCGAUGUUACAGCACAUACGGAAGCAACUUUAUGUUGUAAUAAUGAUGGGAAUCUCACAAACCCUGAUGUUUCUCCAGCGGAACAGCCCCCACCAGCCAAUGGGAUUAAAGAGGAACCGGCAUCAUGGGAAGAGGAAAACCAAUCAGAUUGCAGCAUUAAUCCCCUUACAGAACUGAUACAGGGAACAGACACGCCUACUCCUAUCAUGGGGUGCAGCCUGAAUAUCUUAAAAAUGGAGGGUAAUAAAAAUUCCCUCCAAUCUCCACAUAAAUCUCACACAACAAAAACUACAUUAUGUAGGAAAUACAGCUGCAAUGAGUGUCAUAAACACUUUACUUAUAAGAGAAACUAUGAUAAACAUUGUAGAACCCACAAAAGGGAGAAACCAUUUUCCUGUUCUGAAUGUGGGAAAUGUUUUUCAAUGCGAUCUGGCCUUGAUAUUCAUCACAGAACCCACACAGGGGAGAAACCUUUUUCUUGUUCUGAAUGUGGGAAAUGUUUUUUAUACCAUUCACGCCUUUGUCGUCAUCGGAAGACUCACACAGGGGAGAAACCAUUCUCUUGUUCUGAAUGUGGAAAAUGUUUUUCAAUGCGAUCUGGCCUUGAUAUUCAUCAAAGAACCCACACAGGGGAGAAGCCUUUUUCUUGUUCUGAAUGUGGGAAAUGUUUUUCUAUGCGAUCUGGCCUUGAUAUUCAUCAAAGAACCCACACAGGGGAGAAACCUUUUUCUUGUUCUGAAUGUGGGAAAUGUUUUUUAGACCAUUCACGCCUUGCUCAUCAUUGGAAGACUCACACAGGGGAGAAACCAUUCUCUUGUUCUGAAUGUGGGAAAUGUUUUGCAAACAAAUCUGACCUUAAAUGCCAUCAAAAAAUCCACACAGGAGAGAAACCAUUUUCUUGUUCUGAAUGUGGCAAAUGUUUUUCAACGCGAUCUGGCCUUUAUCAUCAUCAAAGAACUCACACAGGGAAGAAACCUUUUUCUUGUUCUGAAUGUGGGAAAUGUUUUUCAAGGCGAUCUGGCCUUGAUCGUCAUCAAAGAACCCACACAGGGGAGAAACCUUUUUCUUGUUCUGAAUGUGGAAAAUGUUUUUCAAUGCAAUCUGACCUUGCUAGGCAUCAAAGAACUCACACAGAGGAGAAACCUUUUUCUUGUUCUGAAUGUGGGAAAUUUUUUUCAAUGCAAUCUGGCCUUGAUAUUCAUCAAAGAACCCACACAGGGGAGAAACCUUUUUCUUGUUCUGAAUGUGGGAAAUGUUUUUUAGACCAUUCACGCCUUGCUCGUCAUCGGAAGACUCACACAGGGGAGAAACCAUUUUCUUGUUCUGAAUGUGGGAAAUGUUUUUCAAUGCGAUCUGGCCUUAAUAUUCAUCAAAGAACUCACACAGGGGAGAAACCUUUUUCUUGUUCUGAAUGUGGGAAAUGUUUUUUAGACCAUUCACGCCUUGCUCGUCAUCGAAAGACUCACACAGGGGAGAAACCAUUUUCUUGUUCUGAAUGUGGCAAAUGUUUUUCAAUGCGAUCUGACCUUGAUAUUCAUCAAAGAACCCACACAGGGGAGAAACCUUUUUCUUGUUCUGAAUGUGGGAAAUGUUUUUCAAUGCAAUCUGGCCUUGAUAUUCAUCAAAGAACCCACACAGGGGAGAAAACUUUUUCUUGUUCUGAAUGUGGGAAAUGUUUUUUAGACCAUUCACGCCUUGCUCUUCAUCGGAAGACUCACAUAGGGGAGAAACCAUUCUCUUGUUCUGAAUGUGGGAAAUGUUUUUCAAUGCGAUCUGGCCUUAAUAUUCAUCAAAGAACCCACACAGGGGAGAAACCUUUUUCUUGUUCUGAAUGUGGAAAAUGUUUUUUAGACCAUUCACGCCUUGCUCGUCAUCGGAAGAUUCACACAGGGGAGAAACCAUUUUCUUGUUCUGAAUGUGGCAAAUGUUUUUCAAUGCGAUCUGACCUUGAUAUUCAUCAAAGAGCCCACACAGGGGAGAAACCUUUUUCUUGUUCUGAAUGUGGGAAAUGUUUUUCAAUGCGAUCUGGCCUUGAUAUUCAUCAAAGAACCCACACAGGGGAGAAACCUUUUUCUUGUUCUGAAUGUGGGAAAUGUUUUUUAGACCAUUCACGCCUUGCUCGUCAUCGGAAGACUCACACAGGGGAGAAACCAUUCUCUUGUUCUGAAUGUGGGAAGUGUUUUGCAAACAAAUCUGUCCUUAAAUGCCAUGAAAUAAUCCACACAGGAGAGAAACCAUUUUCUUGUUCUGAAUGUGGCAAAUGUUUUUCAAUGCGAUCUGGCCUUUAUCAUCAUCAAAGAACUCACACAGGGGAGAAACGUUUUUCUUGUUCUGAAUGUGGGAAAUGUUUUUCAAUGCGAUCUGGCCUUGAUCGUCAUCAAAGAACCCACACAGGGGAGAAACCUUUUUCUUGUUCUGAAUGUGGAAAAUGUUUUUCAAUGCGAUCUGACCUUGCUCAGCAUCAAAGAACUCACACAGAGGAGAAACCAUUUUUUUGUUCUGAAUGUGGGAAAUGUUUGUCAAGUAAAUUACUUCUUAAAAUUCAUCAUAGAACCCACACAGGAGAGAAACCAUUGUCUUGUUCUGAAUGUGGGAAAUGUUUUUUAAACCAUUCACAACUUGCUUGUCAUCAAAGGACUCACACAGGGGAGAAACCAUUCUCUUGUUCUGAAUGUGGGAAAUGUUUUUCUAACCAAUCUCACCGUGUUCGUCAUCAGAGAAUUCACACCGGAGAGAAACCAUUUUCUUGUCCUGAAUGUGGCAAACGUUUUACAAAUCGAUUUCACCGUGAUCGUCAUCAGAGAAUUCACACAGGGGAGAGACCAUUUUCUUGUUCUGAAUGUGGGAAAUGUUUUUCAAACCAAUUUAACCUUAAAAAUCAUCAUAGACGACAACACAGGGGAGGCACCAUUUUCUUGUGAAUGCGGGAAACGUUUUAUAAAUCGAUCUAACCUUGAUCGUCAUCAAUGGACUCACACAGGGGAGAAACCAUUUUCUUUUUGCAAAGAGGAGGAGGAGCCCCGGCAGCUCCGCCCACUGGGAGAAAGUUCAGGAGAAAUUGGAAACCUCUGCACUGCGGUGGAGCUCUGCGGCAGGCUGGAGUUGGUUCCAGGCCAUAGGGAACGCUUGCUACACGGAGGGGGUGAGGAACCAGUGAUGGGGAAGAAGGAUAAACAUGAGGAGCGGAAGGAGAGAAUCCUGAAUCUCACACUGGAGAUUAUCUAUCUGCUGACUGGAGAGGGCUACGUCAUCCCUAAGAAGAAGAGCCCAACUGUGGGUUUGGGGGCCCUGCAUGCCCCUGGCUCCGUCAUACAGAAGGAAAAUGACAAGAAGAUCCUGGAACUCAUCUCCAACAUCAUCCAGCUGCUGACUGGAGAGGUUGCCAUAAGGAGUGAGGAUGUUUCCAUCUAUUUUUCCUUGGAGGAGUGGGAGUAUAUAAAAGGAAACAAGGCCCUUUACAGGGAAGGGAUAAAGGAGGAGGAGGAGGAGCCCCAGCAGCUCCGCCCACUGGCCUGUGAGUAUAAAGAUGGGAGCGAUGUUACAGCACAUACGGAAGCAACUUUAUGUUGUAAUAAUGAUGGGAAUCUCACAAACCCUGAUGUUUCUCCAGCGGAACAGCCCCCACCGGCCAAUGGGAUUAAAGAGGAAGAGGCUUCAUGGGAAGAGGAAAACCAAUCAGAUUGCAGCAUUAAUCCCCUUACAGAACAGAUACAGGGAACAGACACACCUACUCCUAUCAUGGGGUGCAGCCUGAAUAUCUUAAAAAUGGAGGGUAAUAAAAAUUCCCUCCAAUCUCCACAUAAAUGUCAUAAACACUUUACUUAUAAGAGAGACUAUGAUAAACAUCAUAGAACCCACAAAAGUAAAAAACCCUUUUCAUCUUCUAAUUCUGGAAAAUGUUUUUCAAUUCGAUCCAACCUUAAACGCCAUCAAGUAACUCACACAGGGGAGAAACCAUUUUCUUGUUCUGAAUGUGGGAAAUGUUUUUCAAUGCGAUCUGGCCUUAAUAUUCAUUAUAGAACCCACACAGGGGAGAAACCAUUUUCUUGUUCUGAAUGUGGCAAAUGUUUUUCAAUGCGAUCUAGCCUUGAUCGUCAUCAAAGAACCCACACAGGGGAGAAACCUUUUUCUUGUUCUGAAUGUGGAAAAUGUUUUUCAAUGCGAUCUGACCUUGCUCAGCAUCAAAGAACUCACACAGAGGAGAAACCUUUUUCUUGUUCUGAAUGUGGGAAAUGUUUUUUAGACCAGUCGCGCCUUGCUCGUCAUCGGAAGACUCACACAGGGGAGAAACCAUUUUCUUGUUCUGAAUGUGGGAAAUGUUUUUCAAUGCGAUCAGGCCUUAAUAUUCAUCAAAGAACCCACACAGGGGAGAAACCUUUUUCUUGUUCUGAAUGUGGGAAAUGUUUUUUAGACCAGUCACGCCUUGCUCGUCAUCGGAAGACUCACACAGGGGAGAAACCAUUUUCUUGUUCUGAAUGUGGCAAAUGUUUUUCAAUGCGAUUUCGCCUUGGUAUUCAUCAAAGAACCCACACAGGGGAGAAACCUUUUUCUUGUUCUGAAUGUGGGAAAUGUUUUUUAGACCAUUCACGCCUUGCUCGUCAUCGGAAGACUCACACAGGGGAGAAACCAUUCUCUUGUUCUGAAUGUGGGAAAUGUUUUGCAAACAAAUCUGACCUUAAAUGCCAUCAAAUAAUCCACACAGGAGAGAAACCAUUUUCUUGUUCUGAAUGUGGGAAAUGUUUUUCAAUGCGAUCUGACCUUGCUCAGCAUCAAAGAACUCACACAGAGGAGAAACCAUUUUCUUGUUCUGAAUGUGGGAAAUGUUUUUUAAACCAUUCACGCCUUGCUCGUCAUCGGAAGACUCACACAGGGGAGAAACCAUUUUCUUGUUCUGAAUGUGGGAAAUGUUUUUUAGACCAGUCACGCCUUGCUCGUCAUCGGAAGAUUCACACAGGGGAGAAACCAUUCUCUUGUUCCGAAUGUGGGAAAUGUUUUUCAAUGCGAUUUCGCCUUGGUAUUCAUCAAAGAACCCACACAGGGGAGAAACCAUUCUCUUGUUCUGAAUGUGGGAAAUGUUUUUCAAUGCGAUCUGGCCUUAAUAUUCAUCAAAGAACCCACACAGGGGAGAAACCUUUUUCUUGUUCUGAAUGUGGGAAAUGUUUUUUAGACCAGUCACUCCUUGUUCGUCAUCGGAAGACUCACACAGGGGAGAAGCCAUUUUCUUGUUCUGAAUGUGGCAAAUGUUUUUCAAUGCGAUUUCGCCUUGGUAUUCAUCAAAGAACCCACACAGGGGAGAAACCUUUUUCUUGUUCUGAAUGUGGGAAAUGUUUUUUAGACCAUUCACGCCUUGCUCGUCAUCGGAAGACUCACACAGGGGAGUAACCAUUCUCUUGUUCUGAAUGUGGUAAAUGUUUUGCAAACAAAUCUGACCUUAAAUGCCAUCAAAUAAUCCACACAGGAGAGAAACCAUUUUCUUGUUCUGAAUGUGGGAAAUGUUUUUUAAACCAUUCACACCUUGCUCGUCAUCAAAGAACUCACACAGGGGAGAAACCAUUCUCUUGUUCUGAAUGUGGGAAAUGUUUUUCUAACUAAUCUCAAACUCUUUCACACAUGAGAGAAACUUUUUUAUGUCCACCAUAAAAUGUUUCUUUAAGAGAACCCUUAGACCAGGGAUCCCCAACCUUUCUUACUCGUGAGUCAAAAGUAAAAAGACUUGUAGUGCAACACAAGCAUUAUAAAAGUUCAUGGGGGUGCCAAAUAAGGGGUAAGAUUUGCUAUUAGGCAGCUUCUGCACGCACUAUUGGCUUACAGGUGGGCUUUAUUUGGUAGUAAAUCUUAUUUGUCACUGCCUUAGACCAACAGUUUGCAGUCACCUGACGGGCACUGGGCAAUUCUGAGACCUGGGGGGCACCAAAGCAGAAUGCACCAUAAGUACCUUCCCCCGGCACUGGCUCUGCAUUGGGAACUGAGGAGCCCUCUGGGAUAUAU
Molecule: RNA transcript, 6394 nt
Organism: Xenopus tropicalis (tropical clawed frog)
Lineage: Eukaryota; Metazoa; Chordata; Amphibia; Anura; Pipidae
Gene name: zinc finger protein 208-like
Exons: 10
Source: RefSeq, a predicted model, not a curated record